AAACUGAAACCCUAAUCUCUGGUUGCUGAAUGGACGAACGGAAUCAAACCAACGAUGACGACGACGAAUUCUUUGAUACGCUCGACGAUUUUCCCUCUUACGACUGCAUUUCCACCGACCAAUCAGAUCAAUCCACGUCAGAAUACAAAGAGACCACCUCCACUCUACGACGCCGUUCUAUCCCCAACCGCCGAACUGAUAUUAAUAACUCCGGAGAGAAAAGGUACAAACUUUCUCGAAAUCAGAGAGAAAAAGAAACUAAUUUGAUAAAAUCUGAGCCCAUCAUGAAGGACCGAGAUGUCUCAGUCCAUCUCGGAAGUGGUGAAAAAGUGUUUGGUGGAUAAUUACCCUAUUUUUUAAUAACAUUAUUCAAACUUUUUAGAUUAAACCAAAAGUUAAAAAAAUUAGCUUAAUAACUUAAUGACUAAAAUUUUUUAUUAAGUUGAAAAAACCAAAUAGACUUGGUGCAUAUUUGGUAUGGCUUAUCUAAUGGCUAUAAGUAUUUAUUUAAUCUAUAAGUUGUUUUCAAAUUUUUUUUAUUAUCGUUUGAUUGUUUUUUAGUAGAGGUUUUGAAGAUUAAAUUACUUAUUCUGCUUCUACUAGUAAAAGUUCAAAUUUUAAACUUUGAGGAGUAAAUGUUGAAAAGCUUUUUUAAAAUGUUAAAAUGUUUAAAAUAUCAGUUAUUUAUUCCAUAAUCUUAUUUCAUUUUUUUUUCUAAUGUUACUUUAGAUAACUUGCCUAUUAAGAUAAUUUUAUGAUUUUUAAUAAAAAUUUUCAUUGACAACCAAAUAACUAAAAUUUUUUUAGUAAAAACUUUAAUUAUGAAAACUCUAUUUAAAUAAUCUUUAUUUGAAGAGUUAUACCAAAUAGAAUUUUAAUACUUUAACUGAUUGAAUUAAGUUAAUUAAAUAAAAAAAACGACCCCUAAGUUACAAACAAUUACUAAUGAUAAAAGUUUAAUAUUGCGAAGGCUAUUUAAAAAAAGAAAAUAAAAGAAAAGAAAAAGUUUAAUGUGCAAGAAAGAAUAUAUGACAUUUUGAGCGAAUAAGAAAAAAAUUGUAUUAUUGAGAAAUGGUUAAAAUUAGGGAUACAAAUGUUAUUAACCGAACCCCCCCAAAAAAAGGGGGAUGACGUGGAAGGUGCAAACAUGGUGAAUGGCAAGUAAAUUCGAUGCUGAUAAGCGAUAACCGGAAACUGAAACCCUAAUCUCUGGUUGCUGAAUGGACGAACGGAAUCAAACCAACGAUGACGACGACGAAUUCUUUGAUACGCUCGACGAUUUUCCCUCUUACGACUGCAUUUCCACCGACCAAUCAGAUCAAUCCACGUCAGAAUACAAAGAGACCACCUCCACUCUACGACGCCGUUCUAUCCCCAACCGCCGAACUGAUAUUAAUAACUCCGGAGAGAAAAGGUACAAACUUUCUCGAAAUCAGAGAGAAAAAGAAACUAAUUUGAUAAAAUCUGAGCCCAUCAUGAAGGACCGAGAUGUCUCAGUCCAUCUCGGAAGUGGUGUUAGCGAAGAGAAGGAGGAGGAGUCGACGGUGACUACUGAGAAUGAAGAACGAGUUGUUGACUCGCUUGUUUCCGAGGCUGAGUCGCCACAACCGUCGAGUUUGCUUGAUUGGACUGUUGGAUUGGUGAUUAAAGCAAUUGGUUUUCAAGUUAAUUUGCUAAUUGGCUUCAUCUUGCUUCCUUUUAACGUUAUUUAUUACUCUUUUAUGUUAAUUACGAACCCGUUUGGUACUGUGAAUCGUGGAAAGGAUUAUUUAUUACAAAAAUUGUAUAAUUUCUGGAAUUUAAUUUGGGGGUUUGUUAGUCCUCUGAUUCAUGAUUGGUUUAAAGGGCACGAAUCAAUAUGGAAGUUCGUUUCGCGUUUUGGUUGGGGCUUGUUUUGGGCGAUUUUUGUGUGUUCCAUAUUGUGUGGGUUAUUGCUUUUUUCAAUUCUUACAAGUGGGAUUUUGAUGAGGUUCUUGGUUGAGAAACCAAUUCAAAUAAGGGAAACAUUGAAUUUUGAUUACACAAAGAAUAGACCGGUUGCCUUUGUGCCUAUAAUGUCAUGUGAUUGCGCUUUCUCUGGUGUCAAUUGUAAAGAGAAGAAAGAACUUCCUUGGGGUUUAGGCCCGCGGGUUAUACCAAUUGGUCAUAAACUACAGGUUACUGUGAAGUU
Molecule: long non-coding RNA, 2170 nt
Filed under: Citrus sinensis (sweet orange)
Lineage: Eukaryota; Viridiplantae; Streptophyta; Magnoliopsida; Sapindales; Rutaceae
Description: long non-coding RNA (CSIN_LNC000525)
Source: RNAcentral